CCUACGGGUGGCAGCAGUGAGGAAUAUUGGUCAAUGGGCGGAAGCCUGAACCAGCCAAGUAGCGUGCAGGAUGACGGCCCUACGGGUUGUAAACUGCUUUUAUACGGGAACAACGACCCUUACGUGUAGGCCUUUGCAUGUACCGUAUGAAUAAGGAUCGGCUAAGUCCGUGACAGCAGCCGCGGUAAUACGGAAGGUCCGGGCGUUAGCCGGAUUUAUUGGGUUUAAAGGGUGCGUAUGCGGCAUGUCAAGCUUGCUGUGAAAUGCCCGGGCUCAACCCGCGCCUGGCAGGGCAAACUGGCGUGCUUGAGUCCGCGGAAAGCAGGCGGAAUGCGUGGUGUAGCGGUGAAAUGCUUAGAUAUGACGAAGAACCCCGAUUGCGAAGGCAGCUUGCUGCAGCGGAACUGACGCUGAUGCUCGAAAGCGGGGGUAUCGAACAGGAUUAGAUACCCGGGUAGUC
This 460-nucleotide ribosomal RNA is filed under the name uncultured bacterium. RNAcentral's name for it is "partial 16S ribosomal RNA". It matches the Rfam family "Bacterial small subunit ribosomal RNA", at positions 338 to 795 of the family's 1533-position model. The record is from RNAcentral.